RNAcentral lists this ribosomal RNA (301 nucleotides) under uncultured bacterium. RNAcentral's name for it is "partial 16S ribosomal RNA". It matches the Rfam family "Bacterial small subunit ribosomal RNA", at positions 509 to 807 of the family's 1533-position model. The record is from RNAcentral.
CAGCAGCCACGGUAAUACGGAGGGUGCAAGCGUUAAUCGGAAUUACUGGGCGUAAAGCGCACGCAGGCGGUCUGACAAGUCAGAUGUGAAAUCCCCGGGCUUAACCUGGGAACUGCAUUUGAAACUGUCAGGCUGGAGUCUUGUAGAGGGGGGUAGAAUUCCAGGUGUAGCGGUGAAAUGCGUAGAGAUCUGGAGGAAUACCGGUGGCGAAAGCGGCCCCCUGGACAAAGACUGACGCUCAGGUGCGAAAGCGUGGGGAGCAAACAGGAUUAGAUACCCCUGUAGUCCCUGUCUCUUAUAC